UGAGGAGCUCAAUGUCUAAUGGAAUGCAUU
RNAcentral lists this non-coding RNA (30 nucleotides) under Homo sapiens (human). The record is from RNAcentral. Lineage: Eukaryota; Metazoa; Chordata; Mammalia; Primates; Hominidae.